CGGGAGAUGCACAGGGAAGAGAUUUCGGUCGAAUCCAGUGUAUCUUUAGUGGCGGACGGGUGAGUAACGCGUGGGUAACCUGCCAUAUACUGGGGGAUAACACUUAGAAAUAGGUGCUAAUACCGCAUAAGCGCACGGUCCCGCAUGGGACAGUGUGAAAAACUCCGGUGGUAUAUGAUGGACCCGCGUCUGAUUAGCUGGUUGGCGGGGUAACGGCCCACCAAGGCGACGAUCAGUAGCCGGCCUGAGAGGGUGGACGGCCACAUUGGGACUGAGACACGGCCCAAACUCCUACGGGAGGCAGCAGUGGGGGAUAUUGGACAAUGGGGGGAACCCUGAUCCAGCGACGCCGCGUGAGUGAAGAAGUAUCUCGGUAUGUAAAGCUCUAUCAGCAGGGAAGAAAGAAAUGACGGUACCUGAGUAAGAAGCCCCGGCUAACUACGUGCCAGCAGCCGCGGUAAUACGUAGGGGGCAAGCGUUAUCCGGAAUUACUGGGUGUAAAGGGAGCGUAGACGGUGAUGUAAGUCUGGAGUGAAAGGCGGGGGCCCAACCCCCGGACUGCUCUGGAAACUAUAUGACUGGAGUGCAGGAGAGGUAAGCGGAAUUCCUAGUGUAGCGGUGAAAUGCGUAGAUAUUAGGAGGAACACCAGUGGCGAAGGCGGCUUACUGGACUGUAACUGACGUUGAGGCUCGAAAGCGUGGGGAGCAAACAGGAUUAGAUACCCUGGUAGUCCACGCCGUAAACGAUGAUCACUAGGUGUGGGUGGGUAUGGACCCAUCGGUG
RNAcentral lists this ribosomal RNA (784 nucleotides) under uncultured bacterium. Its description in RNAcentral is "bacterial SSU rRNA". It matches the Rfam family "Bacterial small subunit ribosomal RNA", at positions 43 to 845 of the family's 1533-position model. The record is from RNAcentral.